RNAcentral lists this ribosomal RNA (490 nucleotides) under uncultured bacterium. RNAcentral's name for it is "partial 16S ribosomal RNA". It matches the Rfam family "Bacterial small subunit ribosomal RNA", at positions 30 to 507 of the family's 1533-position model. The record is from RNAcentral.
AUUGAACGCUGGCGGCAGGCCUAACACAUGCAAGUCGAACGGUAACAGGAAGCAGCUUGCUGCUUUGCUGACGAGUGGCGGACGGGUGAGUAAUGUCUGGGAAACUGCCUGAUGGAGGGGGAUAACUACUGGAAACGGUAGCUAAUACCGCAUAACGUCGCAAGACCAAAGAGGGGGACCUUAGGGCCUCUUGCCAUCGGAUGUGCCCAGAUGGGAUUAGCUAGUAGGUGGGGUAACGGCUCACCUAGGCGACGAUCCCUAGCUGGUCUGAGAGGAUGACCAGCCACACUGGAACUGAGACACGGUCCAGACUCCUACGGGAGGCAGCAGUGGGGAAUAUUGCACAAAGGGCGCAAGCCUGAUGCAGCCAUGCCGCGUGUAUGAAGAAGGCCUUCGGGUUGUAAAGUACUUUCAGCGGGGAGGAAGGGAGUAAAGUUAAUACCUUUGCUCAUUGACGUUACCCGCAGAAGAAGCACCGGCUAACUCUGUG